This 691-nucleotide ribosomal RNA is filed under the name Streptomyces sp. ISP2-41-3. RNAcentral describes it as "bacterial SSU rRNA". It matches the Rfam family "Bacterial small subunit ribosomal RNA", at positions 61 to 769 of the family's 1533-position model. Lineage: Bacteria; Bacillati; Actinomycetota; Actinomycetes; Kitasatosporales; Streptomycetaceae. The record is from RNAcentral.
GUCGAACGAUGAACCACUUCGGUGGGGAUUAGUGGCGAACGGGUGAGUAACACGUGGGCAAUCUGCCCUUCACUCUGGGACAAGCCCUGGAAACGGGGUCUAAUACCGGAUACCACCAUCGCAGGCAUCUGUGGUGGUUGAAAGCUCCGGCGGUGAAGGAUGAGCCCGCGGCCUAUCAGCUUGUUGGUGAGGUAAUGGCUCACCAAGGCGACGACGGGUAGCCGGCCUGAGAGGGCGACCGGCCACACUGGGACUGAGACACGGCCCAGACUCCUACGGGAGGCAGCAGUGGGGAAUAUUGCACAAUGGGCGAAAGCCUGAUGCAGCGACGCCGCGUGAGGGAUGACGGCCUUCGGGUUGUAAACCUCUUUCAGCAGGGAAGAAGCGAAAGUGACGGUACCUGCAGAAGAAGCGCCGGCUAACUACGUGCCAGCAGCCGCGGUAAUACGUAGGGCGCAAGCGUUGUCCGGAAUUAUUGGGCGUAAAGAGCUCGUAGGCGGCUUGUCACGUCGGGUGUGAAAGCCCGGGGCUUAACCCCGGGUCUGCAUUCGAUACGGGCUAGCUAGAGUGUGGUAGGGGAGAUCGGAAUUCCUGGUGUAGCGGUGAAAUGCGCAGAUAUCAGGAGGAACACCGGUGGCGAAGGCGGAUCUCUGGGCCAUUACUGACGCUGAGGAGCGAAAGCGUGGGGAGC